RNAcentral lists this ribosomal RNA (477 nucleotides) under uncultured bacterium. RNAcentral's name for it is "bacterial SSU rRNA". It matches the Rfam family "Bacterial small subunit ribosomal RNA", at positions 32 to 507 of the family's 1533-position model. The record is from RNAcentral.
AGACGCUGGCGGCGUGCCUAACACAUGCAAGUCAACUUGACUGAAGGAGCAAUCUGACAGUAGAGUGGCGCAAGGGUGCGUAACGACGUAAGUAACUUGCCCAAGGUAAGGAAUAACGUCGAGAAAUCGGCGCUAAUACCUCAUAAUGCAGCGGAUCCGCAUGGAUAUGUUGUUAAAGGUUUACCGCCUUGGGAUAGGCUUGCGUCUGAUUAGCUAGUUGGUGUGGUAACGGCACACCAAGGCUACGAUCAGUAACUGGUCUGAGAGGAUGAUCAGUCACACUGGAACUGAGACACGGUCCAGACUCCUACGGGAGGCAGCAGUGAGGAAUAUUGGGCAAUGCUCGAAAGAGUGACCCAGCAACGCCGCGUGGAGGAUGAAGGUAUUCUAUAUCGUAAACUCCUGUGAGAGCAGACGAAAGACAGAUUAUUAAUCUGGAUGACUGUAUGCUCAGAGGAAGCCCCGGCUAACUACGUG